Molecule: long non-coding RNA, 1363 nt
Filed under: Citrus maxima (pomelo)
Lineage: Eukaryota; Viridiplantae; Streptophyta; Magnoliopsida; Sapindales; Rutaceae
Description: long non-coding RNA (CMAX_LNC000348)
Source: RNAcentral
UCUUGUCCUUUGAAUUUUCUCUUCAAAUUUUGCAAAGACCAGUUGGGUCAUCGAGCUGUUGUCUGCCGGUCACGCUCUGAUUACAUGCCCCAAAUUUUAUCACCAACAUCAUCUUAAAUCAAUUACAUUAUAACAAAGUCUGAAUUUCUACCUUUACAAAAAUUUAAAAGGAUAUUUGGUCCUACUUACAUUAAGGAUCGAUGCCUACCUUUACUCAAUUAUAUACUAAUAAAUAUAUUAGAGUUCCUAAAAAGGAACUCAAGCCCAUGCCCUCACUUUGGAGAGGGUGUGUAAGGAUGGCAAAAAAAUCUAGAUUUGGCGUGCAUCCGCAAAGAUCUGGAUGCACUUGCAUCUGGAAAACUGGAUAUCUAGAUUCAGAUGAAUUUUAUUUUAAAUUAAAAAUUGAAUUAAAAAUAUAUAUUAACUUAAGUUAAAAAAAUAAUAAUAAUCUGUAACCCUAAGUCAAUAACGCAUUCAACUUUCACACACUCAUUGACUCACGGUAGCCCACCUUACCAGCAGCCAUGACCCCCAAAUCUCUAACGGCCAAAACCGAAGGGCUUGUAACGCUGUCGACCGAUUGCCGUCUUCCUCGCAGCCUCACCUGAGCCUCGCCUCGAAGCUCGCCUGAGCAUAUCGCUGUCGCUGCAUGCCUCGCCGUCAUCGAAGCCUCGCCGUCAUUGAAGCCUUGCCAUGUCGUUGUUGCUACACGCGUCAUCGUCGCCAACCCUCGCCUGAUCGGGUUGUUCUUGCCGGUAGUUGUUACUGCACGUUUCUAUUAAUUUUUUGUUCUUUCUAUUAAUUACAUGGCUAUUUUUUCUAUUUAAUAAUUUGGUAUUGUGGCUAACUGUUUGAUUGCAUUUAAUGAGUUUAAUCUAAUGUAAAUCUGUUAAAACUUGAAAAUGUUACUGGCUUAAUUUAAUUUCCUUGCUGGUUUAAUUUAAUUUAAUUUAAUUUUGAUUAAAUUUCUUUGCUGAUUUGUUUAAUUAUUUUAAUUAAAUGCAUUAAUUUUCAAUAUAAUGUAAAUGCUUAAUCUAUUUUUUUUCUACACAUAUGCUAACUCACUUUACGAAUUACUUUAAUUAAGUUUUGGGAUUAGUUGAAUAUGGCCGCCAAAGGGGAGCAAGGAAAUAAUUUUUCAUUCUCUCCAAAUAGCGUCAUGAUAUGUUGGAUUCGAGACUUGGAAUUUCCAUGAAUUUAUAGUGUUUUUAUUUUCGGAUUUUAAUGUUGGUGUGCUUGAAUUUAUAUUAUUUUUUAUGUUUGAUUUAUAUUGUGAUAUUUUAUUUGUGAAAUUUUUAUUUGUGAAUUUAUAAUGUUGUCGUAUUUUAUUUACUUAUUUACUUAUUUAUGUUGAUUGUUAAUU